GGACUUCUCUUGCUGGGCUCUAGCACCUUAUCUGUGGGACCACCUGCCAUUUCUUCUGCCAGGGGCUCUUUAACACAACUGGGGCAGUUUUCUCAUCCUCUCACUCUUUGUAUAUUUGACACUAUCAUGCUUUAGAAUAAAAUCACCUCUUCAGACAAGAUUUUCAUCAGGUGAGUCCCUCAGAUGUACUCCUUGCCACAGUUUUUUCUUCAGUGUAUCAUUAUUUAAUAUAUGCACUUAUUAUCUGUUUGUUUGUUUAUGUGACUCCCUCAGUAGAGUAUAUAGCUCUUUAGGGCAUAUUCCACACCUUCUUAAUCAUCAGUAUUUCCUGAGAGCCUAGCAAAUAACAAGCACAUCAAUGUGUUCGGUACAGGUAAACAUGUGGAAAGAAGACUUAUAGCUAAUAUUCUAAUGUCUAAACCCCAGUAAGCCCUCCAUCCCUUCCCCCACCAGCAUGUAUAUCCUAAUUUUCCUGUCUUUUCUGCAGCUAAGGUUCUAGGGCUCAGCUUUAUCACAGGCACACUGAGUUCUACCCUAUUUGCUUAUCAAGCCUGUCUUUCUUUCAAACUUUGAUUUCUGCCUAUAGUAUUCAAGGUUUACCUCAAGUAUC
RNAcentral lists this long non-coding RNA (610 nucleotides) under Marmota monax (woodchuck). The record is from RNAcentral. Lineage: Eukaryota; Metazoa; Chordata; Mammalia; Rodentia; Sciuridae.